Molecule: long non-coding RNA, 622 nt
Filed under: Setaria viridis
Lineage: Eukaryota; Viridiplantae; Streptophyta; Magnoliopsida; Poales; Poaceae
Description: long non-coding RNA (SVIR_LNC004632)
Source: RNAcentral
GGGGAGAGACUUACAUCAAACACCAAUGAUCUGAAUGCCAAGAGUUGCCAUAACAUAAGAAAAUAAAACAUAUUCCAUAAACAAAACAUUUUAAUAAUAGCUACUUACAUGUGUCUUUGGAUACAAUAGGUACACGAUAAAUAAAGAUACAAAAGUCAAAAUAAAGAGAAGUUUGAAGGAGAGUAAAAGGAAUCGCAAUGCAGUUUUAUUUGAAUCCAUGUAUGCAUGUACGUGCAUUCUUGUGUUCAGUUAUGACAAAGAGGGUUAGGAGGAAAGAGAAGUACCUGCUAUGCUGCUGCAUCUGGUUCUUUUCCUGGCAAGAGAAACAAAAUAAAAAAUGAAUAAGGUGCAUAAAUAACAUAGUGUUGCAAUGCUAAAGGAGGAAAAAAACAUUUACAAAAUUGAUUAUGAUUAUUAGUAACUAAAUACAUUCAGAAAAAAAUAAAAACCAUUCGCAUUAGGGCUAGGCGAUAUAACUGAACUGUUAGUUUGCAAAGAUCAAGCCAUGUCCCUAUAAGCAAUGCUGGUAGUGAUAGGGAAAAAAGAAAUAACAGUUCUGACAGAAUCACUUAUGAUUUGAUUGCACACUCAAAGUAGCGAGGCAAGAAAACAGUGCAUAGAU